GCAAACUUGGUCAUUUAGAGGAAGUAAAAGUCGUAACAAGGUUUCCGUAGGUGAACCUGCGGAAGGAUCAUUAACGAGUUUUGAAAGGGGUUGUAGCUGGCCUUUUACGAGGCAUGUGCACGCCCUGCUCAUCCACUCUUAACCUCUGUGCACUUAUUGUAGGUCGGUGAAAGGCUUGUUGCUUUUAUUAGUGCAAGCUGGAAGCCUUCCUAUGUUACACUACAAACGCUUCAGUUAUAGAAUGUUUUAUUGCGUAUAACGCAUUUAUAUACAACUUUCAGCAACGGAUCUCUUGGCUCUCGCAUCGAUGAAGAACGCAGC
RNAcentral lists this unclassified non-coding RNA (321 nucleotides) under uncultured fungus. RNAcentral's name for it is "partial contains small subunit ribosomal RNA, internal transcribed spacer 1, and 5.8S ribosomal RNA". The stretch from base 1 to 73 matches the Rfam family "Eukaryotic small subunit ribosomal RNA", at positions 1759 to 1831 of the family's 1831-position model. The record is from RNAcentral. Lineage: Eukaryota; Fungi.